UCCUGGUUUCCCAGGCAGUCCCACCAGAGUGCCUUCUAAAAGAAGUUGCAACUGGCAGCAAGGGUUGCGCUCGUUAGAGGACUUAACCCAACACCUCACGGCACGAGCUGACGACAGCCAUGCAGCACCUGUGCAAUUGUCCAGAUUAAAAACCUGGAAAAUCGUAUUUCUACGACGGUCAAAGGCAUGUCAAACCUAGGUAAGGUUCCUCGCGUAGUGUCGAAUUAAACCACAUGUUCCACCGCUUGUGCGGACCCCCGUCAAUUUCUUUGAGUUUUAGUCUUGCGACCGUAGUCCCCAGGCGGAUCACUUAACGCGUUAGCUGCGACACUGAUUCUGCUAAGCAAAACCAACGUCUAGUGAUCAUCGUUUACAGCGUGGACUAC
This 386-nucleotide unclassified non-coding RNA is filed under the name uncultured bacterium. RNAcentral's name for it is "contains 16S-23S intergenic spacer region". The record is from RNAcentral.